RNAcentral lists this transfer RNA (72 nucleotides) under Anolis carolinensis (green anole). It matches the Rfam family "tRNA". From Rfam's summary of the family: Transfer RNA (tRNA) molecules are approximately 80 nucleotides in length. Their secondary structure includes four short double-helical elements and three loops (D, anti-codon, and T loops). Lineage: Eukaryota; Metazoa; Chordata; Lepidosauria; Squamata; Anolidae. The record is from Rfam by way of RNAcentral.
GGGGCUGUAGCUUAGUGAUAGAGCAAACGCUUUACAUGCAGGAAGUACCAGGUUCAAACCUUGGCAUCUCCU